Molecule: ribosomal RNA, 253 nt
Filed under: uncultured bacterium
Lineage: Bacteria
Description: partial 16S ribosomal RNA
Rfam family: Bacterial small subunit ribosomal RNA
Source: RNAcentral
GACGUAGGUGGCGAGCGUUGUCCGGAUUUACUGGGCGUAAAGGGCGUGCAGGCGGUUUGUUAAGUGCAGGGUGAAAGCUCCCGGCUCAACUGGGAGAGGUCCUUGCAUACUGGCGAACUCGAGGGAGGCAGAGGAAAGUGGAAUUCCCGGUGUAGUGGUGAUAUGCGUAGAUAUCGGGAGGAACACCUGUGGCGAAGGCGGCUUUCUGGGCCUUACCUGACGCUGAGACGCGAAAGCGUGGGGAGCGAACCGG